AAGCCGGCAGUUGUCUGGUCCCGGUGGCAAAAUAUCAGGGACCCCGUCGUUGUCAUCGUCAUCGUCACACUCGUCACCCAGCCCAUCUUUGUCGGAGUCCAGCUGAGAGCUGUUGAUCACGAGUGGGCAAUUAUCCUUGGUAUCCUGGUGACCAUCGCCAUCACUACAGGGGAAGAGACACGAUCACACGAUAGUCUCCAACCAGGUCAUUGUCAACAUCAGACUGAAACAAGAGCAGAGAGUUAAGCACCAUUUUCUCACACAUGAAGUUCUCAGAUCCUUUAUUUAAGUGAAAGCACCAAUACAACAAUGUAUAAAUUUGCAUUUAAAGUCCUACUUAAGUAAAAGUGCAAAUGUAUUAUCCGUAAAAUGUUCUUAAAAAAGUAAAAGUACUGCAUAAAAAUGGCUCCCGUGAGUAAUUGAUAUUAUGGAUGCAUCAAUGUGCAAGCUGCAUUUUACUGUUGUAGCUGGUCGCGUUAAAGCUAGUUUUAACUAUACAGUUUGGUUGUUUUUUAAGUGAUAUGAAAAGUAGCUACUAAUUAAAGCUUCCCAAAAAAUGUAGCGGUGUAAGAAGUAUAUUAUUUUCCCCCAAAGUUAGCAUAAAAUGGAAAUUAAUUACAAGUAUUUGAGUAAAUGUACACUACUUUCCUCCAACUAUCUUGCUAUGACUGACCUGGUUUGGGUUGGGGAUGUCGGGGCAGCUGUCGCAGGCAUCUCCCACUCCGUCUCCAUCCCGGUCCAGCUGGUCUGUGUUCUUGACACGCUGACAGUUGUCCAGAAAGUUGUUCAGGCCUGCUCGCCAAAUUAACAAGAAGAGAUGGCGUCCCCUUUGCCAUCGCUGUCAGUAUCCCUCUGGUCAGGAUUCUCCACCAUGCGGCAGUUAUCACAGGCAUCUCCGUGGCUGUCCUUAUCGCUGUUCCUCUGGUCCACGUUGGGCUUUAACCAGCAGUUAUCCUGAGACAGACAGAGAACACAAAGGUCUCAUUCACAGCAUGUGUAUUUUUGUGGGUGCACUUGUGUCAGUGGACAAACUUGUGUGCAUGUGUUUGGGUGAUGGUGUAAAGUAUGUGCGUCUGUGUGCUUCAGAGCUGAAACAAUUAGUUGAUUAACCAAUUAGUCGAUCAACAAAAAACUGUUUUGAUGAUCAAAGUAUUGUUUAAAGUUGAAAAAUUUUGCUGAGAGUUAAAUGAAAAGACUGUUACCACUGUAAAUAUGAAGUUACUGCAAGUAACCAUUUAGCUAGCCUGGAUCUGUUCAAAGGUAACAAAAUCCGCCUUCCAGCACCCAUAAAGCUCUCAGCAAAAUGGCAGAUAAGCAUGCUUACCAAAAUGUCAAACUAUUCCUUUAAGCCAUUCUCUCCAUUUUCUUGUUCCAGCUGCUUAAUAUUGAAAUGAUGUGCUGCGUUA
Molecule: long non-coding RNA, 1406 nt
Organism: Micropterus dolomieu (smallmouth bass)
Lineage: Eukaryota; Metazoa; Chordata; Actinopteri; Centrarchiformes; Centrarchidae
Exons: 3
Source: RefSeq, a predicted model, not a curated record